AGGACGAACGCUGGCGGCGUGCUUAACACAUGCAAGUCGAGCGGAAAGGCCCUUCGGGGUACUCGAGCGGCGAACGGGUGAGUAACACGUGAGUAAUCUGCCCCUAGCUCUGGGAUAGCUCCGGGAAAACCGGGAUUAAUACCAGAUAUUACCACUUUAGACAUCUCUUGUGGUGGAAAGAAUUUCGGCUAGGGAUGAACUCGCGGCCUAUCAGCUUGUUGGUGAGGUAGUGGCUUACCAAAGGCGACGACGGGUA
This 256-nucleotide ribosomal RNA is filed under the name uncultured bacterium. Its description in RNAcentral is "partial small subunit ribosomal RNA". It matches the Rfam family "Bacterial small subunit ribosomal RNA", at positions 26 to 285 of the family's 1533-position model. The record is from RNAcentral.